Molecule: long non-coding RNA, 224 nt
Filed under: Elaeis guineensis (African oil palm)
Lineage: Eukaryota; Viridiplantae; Streptophyta; Magnoliopsida; Arecales; Arecaceae
Description: long non-coding RNA (EGUI_LNC052865)
Source: RNAcentral
CCAGAAUGUAGGAGACAUUUUCUUGAGUGAGAACUAUUCUCAAGUUUUUUAACCAGUCGACGUAGUUUGGUCUGGUCAAUUUAUUUACAUCUAGUAUGCCCCUAAGUGAUAGUGAGGAUGCCAUAUAUGUGUUAAUCUACAAUAAUAAGAACACAAUAUAAGUAGACAACUCAUGAUGACAUGCACAACUAGAUUAGGAUAUUUGUCUAAUUAUGUCUCUCACU